UUUGAAACUGCUUUCUUAGAGCAUCUAUGCGUUCAGCAUGCAACUCGGCUUCCAUUUUGGAUUCUUCAUUCAUCCGUUCUCUGUUUUGAAAAAGACGAUAAAUCACCUUUAGAAAUAAUCUUAGGAGUAAACAAGAAAAGAGAGAACAUGGCUCGUGGAGGUUUGGAAGCGCUUCAUCUCAGUAACUGACUGCAGGAAGGACUGAUGCCGUGCCUUCUUGUUCUCCCUGUCCUCCAAAGCCUCGAGGUCCCCUUUCAACUUCUGACUCUCUUUCAGCGCUGCAUCACGACCCUUCACUGCUCGUGAGAGCUCCUCUUCAUUCUUUUCAAGAAUGGAUUUCACCUUAGGAGAGAGAAAGAAAUGAUAAAUGACUUUUCAAAGCACAAUAAAUCAGCAGAGUAAGACAUAGCAAUUUAGAAAUCAAACUUAAAAUGUUUAAUUAAAUAUGCUUAUCCACUAUUAUAAAUAAAACCAGCUUCAGCUGUUUUUCCUCUUAAAGAAAACUUGCAAAAAAAAAAUCCGUGUGAAUAAACAUGGGCAAAUCUCUAAUAUAUGUCAAUCUCCAUGAAGCAGAGAAUGAGGGAGAUGGGAGAUAAGACCAUGAAGGUAAGAGGAAAAUGGGGGAGAAACUGAUUAUCAUGAUUAUCACAUGAUUGUCAUAUUUGGGAUUUGAAAAUAUAACGUAAAUGUACAAAUUAAUAAAAGCAGAGAUGAAUAAGUACUAAAUAGUAUCGCAGAAAAAUGAAUCCUAAUGAGAAGUACAAUUUUAUAUCCCUGAAACACAAAGUGUUAUACUAAAAAGUAUAUCUACACAAUCACUUCAGAUGACAUACUGUUUUAAAAACUACCUUUUAAAAACAUUUUAUUUUGAAAUAAUUAUAGACUCACAAGAUGUUACAAAAUUAGUGUGUAGUCCCUGUACUCUUCACUCUGCUUCUAAUGGUGACAUCUUAUAUUACUGUAGUUUAACAUCAAAACCAGGAAAUUGACUUUGGUACGUGACUGUUAGAUUAACUGGAUUAUGGAAUUCACAGUUUCAGCACUU
Vicugna pacos (alpaca) is the source of this 1045-nucleotide non-coding RNA. The record is from RefSeq and is a predicted model, not a curated record. NCBI's taxonomy places the organism in Eukaryota, Metazoa, Chordata, Mammalia, Artiodactyla, Camelidae.